RNAcentral lists this ribosomal RNA (193 nucleotides) under uncultured bacterium. Its description in RNAcentral is "partial 16S ribosomal RNA". It matches the Rfam family "Bacterial small subunit ribosomal RNA", at positions 1309 to 1500 of the family's 1533-position model. The record is from RNAcentral.
AACUCGCCUACACGAAGUCGGAAUCGCUAGUAAUCNCGGAUCAGCAUGCCGCGGUGAAUACGUUCCCGGGCCUUGUACACACCGCCCGUCACACCAUGGGAGUUUGUAACGCCCAAAGUCGGUGGCCUAACCUUUAUGGAGGGAGCCGCCUAAGGCGGGACAGAUGACUGGGGUGAAGUCGUAACAAGGUAGC